This 332-nucleotide ribosomal RNA is filed under the name uncultured bacterium. RNAcentral's name for it is "bacterial SSU rRNA". It matches the Rfam family "Bacterial small subunit ribosomal RNA", at positions 568 to 898 of the family's 1533-position model. The record is from RNAcentral.
CGUGUAGGCGGCCUCUUAAGUCUGGUGUGAAAGCCCGGGGCUUACCCCCGGAAGGGCACUGGAGACUGGGAGGCUAGAGUACCGGAGAGGAGGGUGGAAUUCCUGGUGUAGCGGUGAAAUGCGUAGAUAUCAGGAGGAACACCGGUGGCGAAGGCGGCCCUCUGGACGGAUACUGACGCUGAGACGCGAAAGCGUGGGGAGCAAACAGGAUUAGAUACCCUGGUAGUCCACGCUGUAAACGAUGGGCACUAGGUGUUCGGGGUAUUGACCCCCUGAGUGCCGCAGCUAACGCAUUAAGUGCCCCGCCUGGGGACUACGGCCGCAAGGUUAAA